Molecule: long non-coding RNA, 291 nt
Organism: Exaiptasia diaphana
Lineage: Eukaryota; Metazoa; Cnidaria; Anthozoa; Actiniaria; Aiptasiidae
Exons: 4
Source: RefSeq, a predicted model, not a curated record
AGAAACAACGCGAAAAAACGCGAGAAGAAUUCAGAGCGUCAUUUAAUGCACUYGGGCGCAAAGCUGCCAACAUGGACGACCCAAGCAAGAAAGAAUUGCUUAGAAUUACUAUGGCUUUACGUGAAGCCAACAAAAUCAGUCAACACCUCAAAAAGAAUAUCACAUUCAGCAGAGAUGAAGUCACAGUUGAUGGAAAGACUGUAACCAAAGUUCGACUGAAUGACACCAAGAAAGGUUUAACAACGCUUUGGACCCUGGAGAAGUUUGAAUCAAGACUGGACUUAAUGAGGG